Small nucleolar RNA from Prolemur simus (greater bamboo lemur), 135 nucleotides. Lineage: Eukaryota; Metazoa; Chordata; Mammalia; Primates; Lemuridae. The record is from Ensembl.
UUCCAAGAUGAUCCCCUCUCCAAGGGACCUACUAGUACCUCCCCAAAAAUAUAGCCACUUGGGAUAAAAUCUGGCAUGCCCUAGGUCUGUGUGGGUGAGAGGAUGUUUCCUUUUGACCUUUGACUGCCUACAUAU